AACGAACGCUGGCGGCAGGCCUAACACAUGCAAGUCGAGCGAGACCUUCGGGUCUAGCGGCGGGCGGGUGAGUAACGCGUGGGAACGUGCCCUUUUCUGCGGAAUAGCCUCGGGAAACUGAGCGUAAUACCGCAUACGCCCUUUGGGGGAAAGAUUUAUCGGAAAAGGAUCGGCCCGCGUUGGAUUAGGUAGUUGGUGGGGUAAUGGCCUACCAAGCCUACGAUCCAUAGCUGGUUUGAGAGGAUGAUCAGCCACACUGGGACUGAGACACGGCCCAGACUCCUACGGGAGGCAGCAGUGGGGAAUCUUAGACAAUGGGGGCAACCCUGAUCUAGCCAUGCCGCGUGAGUGAUGAAGGCCUUAGGGUUGUAAAGCUCUUUCAGCUGGGAAGAUAAUGACGGUACCAGCAGAAGAAGCCCCGGCUAACUCCGUG
RNAcentral lists this ribosomal RNA (433 nucleotides) under uncultured bacterium. RNAcentral describes it as "partial 16S ribosomal RNA". It matches the Rfam family "Bacterial small subunit ribosomal RNA", at positions 29 to 507 of the family's 1533-position model. The record is from RNAcentral.